GAUGAACGCUGGCGGCGUGCCUAAUACAUGCAGGUCGAGCGAACGGACGAGAAUCUUGCUUCUCUGAUGUUAGCGGCGUACGGGUGAGUAACAUGUGGAUAACCUACCUAUAAGACUGGGAUAACUUCGUGAAACUGGUGCUAAUACCGGAUAAUAUUUUGAACCGCAUGGUUCAAAAGUUAAAGACGGUCUUGCUGUCACUUCUAGAUGUAUCCGCGCUGCAUUAGCUAGUUGGUAAGGUAACGGCUUACCAAGGCAACGAUGCAUAGCCGACCUGAGAGGGUGAACGGCGACACAGGAACUGAGACACGGUACAGACACCGAGGGGAGGCAGAAGUAGGGAAUCUAGCGAAAUGGGCGAAAGACUGAAGGAGCAACGGCGCGUGAGUGAAGAAGGGCUUCGGGUCGGAAGACGCUGUUAUUAGGGAAGAACAUAUGUGGAAGGAACGGUGCACAUCGUGACGGUACCUGAACAGGAAGCAACGGCUAACUACGUG
RNAcentral lists this ribosomal RNA (497 nucleotides) under uncultured bacterium. Its description in RNAcentral is "partial 16S ribosomal RNA". It matches the Rfam family "Bacterial small subunit ribosomal RNA", at positions 28 to 507 of the family's 1533-position model. The record is from RNAcentral.